CAGCCGCGGUAAUACGGAGGGAGCGAGCGUUGUUCGGAAUUACUGGGCGUAAAGCGUGCGCAGGCGGCUUUGUAAGUCAGAAGUGAAAUCCCAGGGCUUAACCUUGGAAUUGCUUUUGAAACUGCUAAGCUUGAGUAUCGGAGAGGUUGGCGGAAUUCCCAGUGUAGAGGUGAAAUUCGUAGAUAUUGGGAGGAACACCAGUGGCGUAAGCGGCCAACUAGACGAUAACUGACGCUCAGGCACGAAAGCGUGGGGAUCAAACAGGAUUAGAUACCCUGGUAGUCCACGCUGUAAACGAUGUGUGCUAGCUACUGGGCAGUUUACUGUUCGGUGGCGCAGCUAACGCACUAAGCACACCGCCUGGGGAGUACGGUCGCAAGAUUAAAACUCAAAGGAAUUGACGGGGACCCGCACAAGCGGUGGAGCAUGUGGUUUAAUUCGACGCAACGCGAAGAACCUUACCAGGCCUUGACAUCCCGGUCGCGGGGAGCAGAGACGCUCUCCUUCAGUUCGGCUGGACCGGUGACAGGUGCUGCAUGGCUGUCGUCAGCUCGUGUCGUGAGAUGUUGGGUUAAGUCCCGCAACGAGCGCAACCCUCGCUACUAGUUGCCAUCAGGUUAAGCUGGGCACUCUAGUGGAACUGCCGGUGGCAAGCCGGAGGAAGGUGGGGAUGACGUCAAGUCCUCAUGGUCCUUACGCGUGGGGCUACACACGUGCUACAAUGGCGGUGACAGAGGGAUAAUCCCUAAAAGCCGUCUCAGUUCGGAUUGUUCUCUGCAACUCGAGAGCAUGAAGUUGGAAUCGCUAGUAAUCGCGGAUCAGCAUGCCGCGGUGAAUACGUUCCUGGGUCUUGU
RNAcentral lists this ribosomal RNA (854 nucleotides) under uncultured Alphaproteobacteria bacterium. RNAcentral's name for it is "bacterial SSU rRNA". It matches the Rfam family "Bacterial small subunit ribosomal RNA", at positions 512 to 1384 of the family's 1533-position model. The record is from RNAcentral. Lineage: Bacteria; Pseudomonadati; Pseudomonadota; Alphaproteobacteria.